AUGAAUUGGUGAUUAGAACACGUAUGGGUAGAACUUCUAAAAGGUUCUCGAAAAAGGGGUAAUUUUUUCUGGGCCUGUAUUCGUUUUCUAGGUUCGCUAGGAUUCUUAUCGGUUUCUAGUUAUCUUGGUAAGAAUAUUAUAUCUUUUUUGAACUUAGUUGAAUGA
This 165-nucleotide ribosomal RNA is filed under the name Triticum aestivum (bread wheat). RNAcentral describes it as "partial small subunit ribosomal RNA". The record is from RNAcentral. Lineage: Eukaryota; Viridiplantae; Streptophyta; Magnoliopsida; Poales; Poaceae.